This 161-nucleotide ribosomal RNA is filed under the name Adenocarpus nainii. RNAcentral's name for it is "5.8S ribosomal RNA". It matches the Rfam family "5.8S ribosomal RNA". Rfam says of the family: 5.8S ribosomal RNA (5.8S rRNA) is a component of the large subunit of the eukaryotic ribosome. Lineage: Eukaryota; Viridiplantae; Streptophyta; Magnoliopsida; Fabales; Fabaceae. The record is from RNAcentral.
CGACUCUCGGCAACGGAUAUCUCGGCUCUUGCAUCGAUGAAGAACGUAGCGAAAUGCGAUACUUGGUGUGAAUUGCAGAAUCCCGUGAACCAUCGAGUCUUUGAACGCAAGUUGCGCCCGAAGCCAUUAGGCUGAGGGCACGCCUGCCUGGGUGUUGCACA